Molecule: long non-coding RNA, 1813 nt
Filed under: Malus domestica (apple)
Lineage: Eukaryota; Viridiplantae; Streptophyta; Magnoliopsida; Rosales; Rosaceae
Description: long non-coding RNA (MDOM_LNC013042)
Source: RNAcentral
AGUGGAGAUGAGGAUGCUUCGUUGGAUGUGUGGGCACACGAGAAAGGAUAAGAUUAGGAAUAAGGAUAUCCGAGGUAAAGUAGGAGUAGCCGAAAUUGAAGGAAAGAGGAGAGAAAAUCGGUUACGGUGGUUUGGACAUGUGCAAAGAAGGCCUACUGACGCUCCGGUUCGAAGAUGUGACCACGGGACAGAGGUUCAGGGCCGAAGGGGUAGAGGAAGACCUAGGAAAACUUUGGAACAGACCCUAAGAAAAGACUUAGAGUACUUGGAUCUAACGGAGGACAUGACACAAAACCGAGCGCAAUGGCGUUCUAGGAUUCAUAUAGCCGACCCCACUUAGUGGGAAAAGGCUUUGUUGUUGUUGUUGUUGUAAUCUUCCAAUAUGUCCGAAAAUCUUAUUUUAAUAUGGCUGUUUAAUUUAAUUAACCAUAUUAAUUCAAUUAAAAUAAUAAAUUAUGUUUGGCCUAUGACCUUUUGGCCCCCUCGGUUGGAGUUGGUUUUUUGUCACAAGGCUAUGUUUGGCCUAUGGUCCUUUGGUCCCUUCAGUUGGAGAUGGUAUAAAAUAUGGCCUGACACUAUUCAUUAAAAUAUAAUUUCUUGGAGGGCUAUAUGGCUAAAGAGAGCCCUCUGGCCCUCCUUCUGUUGGAGAUGGCCUUACGGUUUGGCUAGAAAAAGGGUAUAGUUGUGUUUUGAAAAAAAAAAAAAAAAACUGCUUAUGCUAUGCUUUGAUAAUCAGAAGCUGUGAAAUAAAGCAGCAAAGUAUAAAACAGCUGUGAUUGUAAAACAGCUGUUAUAGUAUUUAGUAAACUUUUAUGUAAAACAGUUAUGCUUGUAUAAAAUGACCAAAAAUAACAUAAUACUCGAUGUGCUAUUAACUAAGUGCUUGGAGAAUAAAGGUCAAUUAAUUUUUUAUGAACAAAAAAUAAAGGUCAAUUAUUUAUUACACUUUGUUUUCUUUGAAAAUAGGGGCAAUUUGAUUUCACCGCCUAAUAUCUCCAACUCUUUUAUUAAACAUUCAUCGCUUUUCAAGUUUUAUUUUGUUUUAUUUUUUUUUCAAAAUCGCUUUUCAAGUUUUGAUUAGACUACAUUUGGUGGCAUUUUGCAUUCUCCAAUUAUCCUUUCAUUCUUUUCUCAUGUAUUUUACGUGGAUUAAAUUUUAUCUGUUAUAAAGAUAAAAUAUCAGGGAUAAUCUUACAACUUAAAUUUAAAAAUUAGAGAUAUAUACACAAGAAAAAAUGAAAAAUGUACACGAACCCAUGCCGAAAAAACACAAUCAGCAUACUUGUGACGACCCGUCCCUAAUUUUCCAUGUAAUUUCCUUCCUGAGUAUGUAAAAUGACAUUUAUGCCCUUGUUGGCCAAGUGAAGUGGACGUAGUUAUUCAGUUUUAAAUUAUUUUUCUCGAUAUCGAAAUUAAUUAGUACUCGUUGUUACGAAUGCGUGAGCGUGAGUUAGACCUGAAUCAGAGUUGUAACGAAAAAGUCACAUUUAGUUAAAGUGCGUUAACAAUGGGUAGAAUUGUAUACUCGUGUGCUAAUUAUUCAGUGUUGGAAACAUUGUUUUAGAUAGGGUGAGUUAGAUUUUCACAUAUUUUAUGUGCAUUUUAUAUUGUACAAAUCUUAUCAUCUUCUCUCUUUAAUUUUGUCCCAUGCCCUAUUCUCCCUCACCAACCAAUCAAUCACUCUCCUCAUUUCCCUCACCAAUCAGGCAGAUUCCCUCUCUCUUUUGUCCUAUCAAACUCAGUCUCUCUCUCUCUUCUUCUUCUCUCCCUCACCCGUAGCUCUCUAUCAUCUCUGCAACAACCAUACACCAUC